AUUUGAUUUACUUUUACUCUUUUUCGGUAACUUUAGUGGCCCUAAAAGUUGACUUUUUAUUCGGGUCAAAAUUUGAGAAAAUGUUCUUCAUGAAAGUUGUAGAGAACGUUAAACCGAGCGCGUGCAUAUGUGGUACGUAAAAAUCGGAGUUCGUAUGUGAAAGUUAUAAGCGAAAUACUAAAAUUACUGUUCAUAUAGUAAGUUUCUAUAAAUAGCCGAGUUACUGUGGUAAGUUUCCAUUUUCCGAAACUUACCGAGCCUCUCCCCGAUUCUCUCUUCCUCUCCGACCUCUUCACCUUCUUCCGGCCAUAACUCCUCCAUCCGGCGACGGAUUUUGAUGUGUAAGAUGUCGUUAGAAAGCUCUCUUCCUUCUCUUCAUUCUGGGUUCGUUUCGUAGCUUAAUAUGAACUGUGGAAGGUGCAGCAACGAGAAGAAGAGGACGGUCACUGUAGUAGUUUUGAGUCAACGCCGAUAUUUUCCGAUUCCGGCAGUCUCCGGCCACCAAAUUGGCGUCGAAGGGUUCUUGGAAUUUCUGGAAAUUUUUCACCGGCCAAAUUGGAGCUCUUCCAGGGCAAUGCCGCGAGCUACGGUUAAAUGAAGGAACUCGUUUGCGUGGUCGCCCAAUAGUACUUUUGCAGGCAAAAUUAGUUGAGGUCGGGCGUACAUGGAGUCGAGGCAUAGCCAACAGCAUUGCGUCCGCGUACUCAUUCUAUUUCUGUUUUCUUUGUUACCUAGUGGAUUAGUAUUGCUCUGAUAACCUAUGGGAUUAAUAUUGUUUUUGGGUUGAGACUGAUAUUUGUGAAAUUGGAGUUGUGAUUUGGGGAGCAGAUGGCUCCAGAAGAUUAAGGAUUGAUGAUUUAGAAGUGUAAAUGUUUUCCUACAGGUUUUGGGUAGCCUAAUUUUAGGGGAAGUUCCGCCAAAUUUUUGGUAGAAUCUCUUCUAAAGUGGGCCCCGCAGGGCCACUUCGGAUUUCAGGGUGAAAUCUGGGGCGGGUCCUGUCAGUUGGUAUCAGAGCAUUAGGUUGUUAGGUUCUGUAGACUCGUUUCUAUUCUGUUACCUUAUAUGCUUGGUGUUGCCCAGUACCUCUCGAGUGAUGGCCCGACUGCAGCGGUUCCCCAUCGUGUACUCUUCGGUACUGUGGUAUUCAUCAAGUGUGUAAGGUACAAAGCUAGUUGGUUUUCUUCUGGUGCUAUGCCUCUUGUACGCCGACCUCUUAGGGAUUCCGCUGCGUAUUGGUCUCCUUACAUAUGCACCUUUCCCUGGUAUUGGUAGAGUAAGGCUACUCUACAGAUUCGA
This is a long non-coding RNA of Rosa rugosa (rugosa rose), 1296 nucleotides long. RefSeq lists it as uncharacterized. NCBI's taxonomy places the organism in Eukaryota, Viridiplantae, Streptophyta, Magnoliopsida, Rosales, Rosaceae. The transcript is spliced from 4 exons. The record is from RefSeq and is a predicted model, not a curated record.